CCUACGGGAGGCAGCAGUGGGGAAUAUUGGGCAAUGGGCGCAAGCCUGACCCAGCAACGCCGCGUGAAGGAAGAAGGCUUUCGGGUUGUAAACUUCUUUUCUCAGGGACGAAGAAAGUGACGGUACCUGAGGAAUAAGCCACGGCUAACUACGUGCCAGCAGCCGCGGUAAUACGUAGGUGGCAAGCGUUAUCCGGAUUUAUUGGGUGUAAAGGGCGUGUAGGCGGGAGCGCAAGUCAGAUGUGAAAACUCAGGGCUCAACCCUGAGCCUGCAUUUGAAACUGUGUUUCUUGAGUGCUGGAGAGGCAAUCGGAAUUCCGUGUGUAGCGGUGAAAUGCGUAGAUAUUAGGAGGAACACCAGUGGCGAAGGCGGUCUGCUGGACAGCAACUGACGCUGAGGCGCGAAAGCGUGGGGAGCAAACAGGAUUAGAUACCCGGGUAGUC
Molecule: ribosomal RNA, 443 nt
Filed under: uncultured bacterium
Lineage: Bacteria
Description: partial 16S ribosomal RNA
Rfam family: Bacterial small subunit ribosomal RNA
Source: RNAcentral